RNAcentral lists this long non-coding RNA (225 nucleotides) under Vigna radiata. Its description in RNAcentral is "long non-coding RNA (VRAD_LNC009432)". Lineage: Eukaryota; Viridiplantae; Streptophyta; Magnoliopsida; Fabales; Fabaceae. The record is from RNAcentral.
UUAAAAAUGACAAUCAAUAUAUUUCAAAUCAAAUAUUAAAAUAUUUGCUCACAUAUCUACGCACCACCCUUACAAUUUUAAUAUUCAUUCCCAUAUCAAUUAAUGUAUACAUUUUUAGGUCCUAUUUUCUAUAUUUUAAUUAAAUAAAUCAUGUUUUAAUUGUAAUGUGUUUUCUUUUUAGCAUUUUACUGAAACAUGGACGACUUUUUAAUGUUAAUAUUAGCC